RNAcentral lists this long non-coding RNA (368 nucleotides) under Salmo salar (Atlantic salmon). RNAcentral's name for it is "lncRNA (ENSSSAG00000117443.1, ENSSSAG00000121708.1)". Lineage: Eukaryota; Metazoa; Chordata; Actinopteri; Salmoniformes; Salmonidae. The record is from RNAcentral.
GAUCAGUAGGUUUCCUGUUACGAUCAGUAGGUUUCCUGUAAAGAUCAGUAGGUUUCCUGUAAAGAUCAGUAGGUUUCCUGUUACGAUCAGUAGGUUUCCUGUUACGAUCGGUAGGUUUCCUGUUACGAUCAGUAGGUUUCCUGUAAAGAUCAGUGUAUAGAACAUUAUCUAACCACACAAGAUCAGAAGAUCCAGGAAACUGAUUUGACGGGUGUCAGACUGCAUAGUAAAUCAGGUGCUCAGAACAAGAUUUAAAAAACAGCCUAGAAACGCCUGGAGCUGUUUGGCAUCACCCCUCCACAGAACACAAAUAUCAUCAAUAUACCGUCUCCAAAUCAUGAUGUUAGGCAAGAAAACAUUUUUGAGAG